This is a long non-coding RNA of Chlorocebus sabaeus (green monkey), 1667 nucleotides long. RefSeq lists it as uncharacterized. The record is from RefSeq and is a predicted model, not a curated record. NCBI's taxonomy places the organism in Eukaryota, Metazoa, Chordata, Mammalia, Primates, Cercopithecidae.
UUUUGGCGCCCAUGAGCCAGUAGCUCCGGGCUGAUCUGUAGCUCCCAGCAGUCCUCAGCCUUCUCCUCAGGCUCUGGGGUAUCCAGGGACUCCACCUGGGCGACAAAGGGAGCCCCUCACAUCUGAUCUCAAUUGUCUGUCAAAGUUCAGCCAUGUUAAGGACAUUCAAGGAGAAGCUGGAGAACUUCCGGUAUUGGGAGAAAACUGGACUCUAGUCUAGCCUGAGUGUCCUUCCCUGUCUGAAGAUUCGAGUAUUGCUUCUCAAGGCCAACAGGAAUCCCAGCUCCCACAUCCCUAAAACACCUACCUCAAUCUCCAGGUCUUUCUCUUCCACGGUCUUCAUGAGCACCAUCCGCUCUCGCUUUGGGGUACUCAACAGAGGGGCUCCCUGGCUCCCCUGGGAGGCCAGCAGACGGUCCAAGCUCAGGAGGCGCUCCAGCAUGGCCGGGUCCAUGCUGCUUAGCUUCUGCAGGGGGCUGAGCAGACAAAUAAGUUGCUCUCCACCUACCUCCUCCCUCAUCACCUACAGCAGCAGGACUCCCCUCACCACACCUUAACUUGGCAUAUCCUGUAGCUCCAGAACCUAAUGUUAACUUGCUAGGCAUCCAAUUUCUCUGGGUGCAGUGUCUUCAUCAGGUGAAGUGACUGCUCAGGAAUGCCAGGAAAUCACAGUGCCAGGUAUGAGAGAUCUAAGACACUGCCUGGAAGUACUGUCUACUGAGGAAAUCAAGAGACCAUAAGGUGACUGCCAGGGCAAUGCCUGACCAUUUGGAGGAGCAGUUGGGGAAAACAUCACAGAAGAUGCCAUCUUCAGAAGGGUUUUGAAAUCCACUGAAGACCUCAGCUGCCAAGCCUAUAUCCUGUGGGCAGCAGGGAAGGCCUGUUCAAGCACAGUCCUGACUGACUCUGAGCAUGCUCCUGUGGGUCCAUAGGCAAGCACGCUGGCAUUCUGCCCUUCCAGCAAGUGCCUUAGGAUGGGCUGCACUGAACCUGCAUAGAUGUCCUGCUGAGUACUCCUCUCCCCAUAGAAGGCAUCAAACCUGCAAGAAGAAAGAAAGAAAUUAGUAUGUCUGUGUGUAUGUAAGGGGUAGAGUGGGAUGGGGGUGAGUAAGGGAUUCUACUCUCAUAUGGAUCUUGGAUUUAAGAGAAUGUCUCUAUCCACUUUCUUGUACAAAGACCUUAAAAAGCACCCACCUAACACCUACUCCAUCCUCAUCUCUCUAUUGGUGUUAGGAAUACAGAGAUGGAUCUGAUAUCCUUGCUCUUAGAGUUUUGCAGUCUGGUAGGAUAGAUAUCCACACUGCUGUGGUUUAGGAAACGAAGAUAAGAACACACUCUUGAAGGAGUAACUGAUUCUGCUCAAGGAAGGAAGAUUUUGACCAAAGAAAGAAACUCUAAGAAUCAAGAAUAACACAAAAGCAAGGCUUCCCAAUCUUUUUCACAAGGCCACAUGUGUAGAACAUUGUAUUUUAAACCGUAAUGGGGAAUAUAGAGGAUGCUGCUUACGACUGGACUAGACUCCACAUACCAAUCACAUAUUCACUGCGUUCUGGUGGAGAAGCUGCAACUUAGGCCACAGCAGGGAGUUUAGUAUAUGUUGAGGGAAUGAGGCUGGAAAGAAACUGAAGCCCAAAUUGUUAACGGUCUAGUAUGGGAGCUAGCAAACU